Molecule: ribosomal RNA, 254 nt
Filed under: uncultured bacterium
Lineage: Bacteria
Description: partial 16S ribosomal RNA
Rfam family: Bacterial small subunit ribosomal RNA
Source: RNAcentral
UACGGGGGGAGCAAGCGUUGUUCGGAUUUACUGGGCGUAAAGGGCGCGUAGGCGGCCAGCACAAGUCAGUUGUGAAACCUCCGAGCUUAACUCGGAAAGGUCAACUGAUACUGUGCGGCUAGAGUGCGGAAGGGGCAACUGGAAUUCUUGGUGUAGCGGUGAAAUGCGUAGAUAUCAAGAGGAACACCUGCGGCGAAGGCGGGUUGCUGGGCCGACACUGACGCUGAGGCGCGAAAGCCAGGGGAGCGAACGGG